Panthera uncia (snow leopard) is the source of this 634-nucleotide non-coding RNA. The record is from the annotation of a RefSeq genome assembly. Lineage: Eukaryota; Metazoa; Chordata; Mammalia; Carnivora; Felidae.
AUGAAGCACUGCUGGCUUCGAAGAUGGAAAAAGGGACCAUGGGUGAAGGAAUGUGGGCAGCCUUUAGAACCUGGGAAAUGUAAAAAACCAAUUUUACCCCCAGAGGUUUCAGAAAAGAAGCAGUCCUGCGGAUGUCUUGAUUCUAGCAUCCUACUAUAUCGGCUUCUCAGCCUGAGGCUUACUGCCAGAUACAACAUUGAUUUUGCAGGAGACACCAGUGCCCAGUCAGUGACCCAGCUUGAUGGCCAUGUCACUGUCUCUGAAAAAGCCCAUCUGGAGCUGAGGUGCAACUACUCCUAUGGGGCAACUCCUAAUCUCUUCUGGUACGUGCAGUACCCCAACCAAGGACUCCAGCUUCUCCUCAAGUACUUUUCAGGGCCACCAAAUGUCCUGGUUCAAGGCAUCAAAGGUUUUCAGGCUGAAUUUAGGAAGAAUGAAACGUCCUUCCACCUGAGGAAACACUCGGCCCACUGGAGCGACUCGGCCAAGUACUUUUGUGCUGCGAGUGACACAGUACCUUGGACUGCAGGGGGAGCUGAACACAAACCUCUUGAGGCACUAAGGAGGCUAAGUGCAUCUGAAAGGUUUUGGAUUCUGACAUAGAAGGACACACAGUACAGAGGCAUUCAGGGAC